UUGGUUUAAUUACUACACGGGGUCUGCUAAGACAAUUUCCUUGUCUGAGAGUAAGACCCUGGACUGCGGUCAAGUAAUCCUGUCGUUUUAACAUUUAUUCUGACAGCCGAUCUAGCCGGUUUCGCGUCAACAUCGACAUGAUCAAUUUUUGGGCAAAGAUAACAUUAUUUUUCCUUUCGGUGAAAUUUUAUGUUUCGCGCAUUUGUGAAAGCCAACAUUCCAAUGUGGAAUGGCCCGAUGAAAUCUUGUGCAAUUCGGGUAACAUUUUCGGGCCGAAGGAUGAACCGUGUAGUGUUCGCUUCUCAUUACGACAAUCCGAAUGGUUUUUUUGCAAAGCAGCCAAAGGAGGUAUCGCAACGUUUGUAUACGGGCUUAUUUACCGGUCAAUCGGCUAGAAAGCUUCGUACGAUUACUGCACACACUAAAGCUUCACGUCCGAUGGUUGAACGUACAAUCCUUGCUUACCCCUGAUUUGCGGCAAGCUAAUGUUCCCACGGCUAGAGGACUUGAAGGUGGCUAUAAAACCCUGCACGGCCCAAGCGGCGGUUAUUUCAAGCUUGGUUGACGAUUUUUUUCGAAGGCACCCUUUCCUUCGACGACUCUUUAUCUCCGGGAUGAUGAUUCCGGUAGAAUCUAUUACUCGUCCGGAACCCGGAAGAAGGAUCUUUUGGAGUCGUUGGUGCAGCUAAGCAAGCUAAGCACCUUUCAUUGGAAGGAACAGUGAAUAGGAAGAUUCUUCGUGCACCGAUGAGCUCGCUCGAAUCAGUUAGAUUGUGCAUGAGCAAUCCUGAAGUUUUGCUCGAGAAGCUUUUCGAAAUUGUGCCACGAUUGAGCUGUUUGAAAGCCACUUAUCCCAUAUCUUGUUUUCUGGUCUUCGACGAUAAGAACUGUCCAUCGAUCAUGAGCUUACACAUACUACUGACAUAACGGUUGAUGAUCUUAACCAGAUACCGGAAACGUUCCCUGUGCUGAAGAGAUUGAUCCUCGAGGACUGCUCGGUGUCUUUGGAUGCGGUCGAACGGCUACAUAAAUUGAUGCCCUCGUGUAGAAUAGACUACUGCAACUAACGGUUCUAUCCCAUUGACGAUGUGCCCGUGAACUGAAAAUAAGCGCGGAGCGUAAAGAAGAUGCAGCUUCGGAAGGAGAUAAAGUUUUGCGCUAAAACUCCUAAGAGAUGAGAUAGUUGCAAGCUAUCACUGCGGAUUCCAUCAGAAAGAGAAAGAAACAGAUCUGAGGUGAGAAUCGCGAGCGAUGGAAGCCGUGGCCGGUAGCCUGGCUCACGUGUUGCGCUGAAACAAUAAGAAA
Anopheles bellator is the source of this 1305-nucleotide long non-coding RNA. RefSeq lists it as uncharacterized. The record is from RefSeq and is a predicted model, not a curated record. NCBI's taxonomy places the organism in Eukaryota, Metazoa, Arthropoda, Insecta, Diptera, Culicidae. The transcript has 4 exons.